RNAcentral lists this ribosomal RNA (497 nucleotides) under uncultured bacterium. RNAcentral's name for it is "partial 16S ribosomal RNA". It matches the Rfam family "Bacterial small subunit ribosomal RNA", at positions 28 to 507 of the family's 1533-position model. The record is from RNAcentral.
GAUGAACGCUGGCGGCGUGCCUACUACAUGCAAGUCGAGCGAACAGACGAGGAGCUUGCUCCUCUGACGUUAGCGGCGGACGGGUGAGUAACACGUGGAUAACCUACCUAUAAGACUGGGAUAACUUCGGGAAACCGGAGCUAAUACCGGAUAAUAUAUUGAACCGCAUGGUUCAAUAGUGAAAGACGGUUUUGCUGUCACUUAUAGAUGGAUCCGCGCCGCAUUGGCUAGUUGGUAAGGUAACGGCUUACCAAGGCAACGAUGCGUAGCCGACCUGAGAGGGUGAUCGGCCACACUGGAACUGAGACACGGUCCAGACUCCUACGGGAGGCAGCAGUAGGGAAUCUUCCGCAAUGGGCGAAAGCUUGACGGAGCAACGCCGCGUGAGUGAUGAAGGUCUUCGGAUCGUAAAACUCUGUUAUUAGGGAAGAACAAAUGUGUAAGUAACUAUGCACGUCUUGACGGUACCUAAUCAGAAAGCCACGGCUAACUACGUG